ACUCCUGUGUGGAUUUUCUUCCUCUAAGAGGAGAUUUUAGUGGAGUUAACAUUGAUGAUUCUACCGAUAAAGAUAAUUGAAUGGGAGUUUCAGAAAUCCCUAGAGCUGCAAAAUGGAGAUCUCUUUUUGGAGUUGACAAAGAUAGCAAUGUCAACCUGCAAAUUUUCCUUUCAAAAACAACAUUCUAUUAACGAGAAAUUAAAGGUGUGGAUGCCCAAAGAAAAUAAGAAUGUACUGGAACAAUCGAAUAGAAGCAAAGUUCUGGCAAGGUGGUGGAAGCUUUGGAUGGGUUUGGGGAAAUAAUGGGAGUAAAUAAUCCCAGAAUGGGUACUAUUAUAAAUGAGAAUCUGCAUGUACAGGGAAAUGAGAUUGUGGAGAUGGUAAUGGCAAAUUUUUUUUAUCAGUUUAGUCCACCAUAUACAUCAAUUUAGUCCAGAAGUUUAGUCCACCAUGUACAUCUGUUUUUUAUGUCUUGUUAGCAGAUUAAGAAGACGAAGAACAGAGAGAAAAGAGGAGGGAGUCAGCGCUAGCUAGUCCAUGUUAUGCUGUAGUAGAGUUGCUUGGUAAGUGUUUGUGGAAAUGCUUCAAUUAAUUGUGUUCUGUAUUUGCUAGUUCACCUCACCUGUAAACCAAAUGUUGGCAUAAUCCUCAGUAUGCAAGAGAUUAGAGGAAUCAUUGGUGAUUUAUCUUGCCCAAGACAGUAACAUCAUGUGGAUUGUGCACGUAUAUGGGAGGCUAGUGUACCAUCGAGAGGGCCUGGUUAGCAUGGAAACUACUCCAUGACAGAGUCUCAACUGAUGAUGCGAUGCGGGAUUCAGGGUAAUGCUUACGCGGAUAUCUUAGCUAAACAUGGAGAUGGAGCUAUUAGUUCACCGCGGAUCCCCAACCUCCAAUGAAGGAAGACAUAGAUGUUCUCCCCACUGGUCACUUCUGUUAGCAUUUCUUAGACGCUUGCAUAUUGCUUCCAUGGCACCAAAGUUAGUUUGAGCUAUUUGAACAUACUGCUAGCAUAUUGCUUGAGACGGGAUCAAACUAUGCUUUUGACUUUGAUUCUUUACUUUACUCCAGUAGAACCUGGUUCACCGAGAAUAUGAGAAGAAGCAAAAAGACUCCUGCAAAGAAGAAAUAAGUUUUUUUUCUCUUUUUUUCUGGUAUUGUUGUGGUCUAGAUGUUGUUGAGUCAAACUAUAAACUCUUUGUUUGUUCUAGUUUUGCCAGACUUAGCUUUAUGUUGUAUAGUUACAACAAUUUGUCGAUCAGUAAGGGGGGUUGAGAGAUAAGUUUGGUGAUGAAUCACCUCGUGAAUCAAAACUCAGGCCAAAUCUGAGCUUA
Molecule: long non-coding RNA, 1331 nt
Organism: Papaver somniferum (opium poppy)
Lineage: Eukaryota; Viridiplantae; Streptophyta; Magnoliopsida; Ranunculales; Papaveraceae
Exons: 3
Source: RefSeq, a predicted model, not a curated record